This 253-nucleotide ribosomal RNA is filed under the name uncultured bacterium. RNAcentral's name for it is "partial 16S ribosomal RNA". It matches the Rfam family "Bacterial small subunit ribosomal RNA", at positions 524 to 776 of the family's 1533-position model. The record is from RNAcentral.
UACAGAGGUGGCAAGCGUUGUUCGGAAUUACUGGGCGUAAAGGGCGCGUAGGCGGUUCGAUAAGUCCCGUGUGAAAGCCCCCGGCUCAACUGGGGAACUGCACGGGAAACUGACGGACUUGAGUUCGGGAGAGGGAAGCGGAAUUCCGGGUGUAGCGGUGAAAUGCGUAGAUAUCCGGAGGAACACCGGUGGCGAAGGCGGCUUCCUGGACCGACACUGACGCUGAGGCGCGAAAGCGUGGGGAGCGAACAGG